GACGAACGCUGGCGGCGUGCCUAAUACAUGCAAGUCGAACGAGAGCGACCGGUGCUUGCACUGGUCAAUCUAGUGGCGAACGGGUGAGUAACACGUGGGUAACCUGCCCAUCAGAGGGGGAUAACAUUCGGAAACGGAUGCUAAAACCGCAUAGGUCUUCGAACCGCAUGGUUUGAAGAGGAAAAGAGGCGCAAGCUUCUGCUGAUGGAUGGACCCGCGGUGCAUUAGCUAGUUGGUGAGGUAACGGCUCACCAAGGCCGUGAUGCAUAGCCGACCUGAGAGGGUGAUCGGCCACAUUGGGACUGAGACACGGCCCAAACUCCUACGGGAGGCAGCAGUAGGGAAUCUUCCGCAAUGGACGCAAGUCUGACGGAGCAACGCCGCGUGAGUGAUAGAAGGUUUUCGGAUCGUAAAACUCUGUUGUUAGAGAAGAACAAGUGCUAGAGUA
Molecule: ribosomal RNA, 448 nt
Filed under: Granulicatella adiacens
Lineage: Bacteria; Bacillati; Bacillota; Bacilli; Lactobacillales; Carnobacteriaceae
Description: bacterial SSU rRNA
Rfam family: Bacterial small subunit ribosomal RNA
Source: RNAcentral